UGGAGAGGUGGCAGAGCGGUUGAAUGCGGUAGACUCGAAAUCUACUUUAGGGCGACCUAACGUGGGUUCAAAUCCCACCCUCUCCGU
This 87-nucleotide transfer RNA is filed under the name Kamptonema sp. PCC 6506. Its description in RNAcentral is "tRNA-Ser". It matches the Rfam family "tRNA". Rfam says of the family: Transfer RNA (tRNA) molecules are approximately 80 nucleotides in length. Their secondary structure includes four short double-helical elements and three loops (D, anti-codon, and T loops). Lineage: Bacteria; Bacillati; Cyanobacteriota; Cyanophyceae; Oscillatoriales; Microcoleaceae. The record is from RNAcentral.